CACGUAGGGCGCGAGCGUUGUCCGGAAUUAUUGGGCGUAAAGAGCUCGUAGGCGGCCUGUUGCGUCCGCUGUGAAAGCCCGGGGCUUAACCCCGGGUCGGCAGUGGAUACGGGCAGGCUAGAGGUAGGUAGGGGAGAAUGGAAUUCCCGGUGUAGCGGUGAAAUGCGCAGAUAUCAGGAAGAACACCCGUGGCGAAGGCGGCUCUCUGGGACGGUACUGACGCUGAGACGCGAAAGCGUGGGGAGCGAACAGG
Molecule: ribosomal RNA, 253 nt
Filed under: uncultured bacterium
Lineage: Bacteria
Description: partial 16S ribosomal RNA
Rfam family: Bacterial small subunit ribosomal RNA
Source: RNAcentral